GGCCUGGUGGUCUAGUAGUAUGAUUCCUUCUUAGGGCUUCUCGCCACAUUUGGAGGAGGUCCCGGGUUCAAUUCCCGGCCAGGCCC
Molecule: transfer RNA, 86 nt
Filed under: Trametes coccinea BRFM310
Lineage: Eukaryota; Fungi; Basidiomycota; Agaricomycetes; Polyporales; Polyporaceae
Description: tRNA-Pro
Rfam family: tRNA
About the family: Transfer RNA (tRNA) molecules are approximately 80 nucleotides in length.
Source: RNAcentral